GGGCUGCACCCAUGGCACAUGUAAGUUCUCAGGCUAGGGGUUGAAUUGGAGAUACAGCUUACAGCCUACACCACAGCCACAGCAAUGCAGGAUCCGAGCCACAUCUGCAACCUACACCACAGCUCAUGGCAACACUGGAUUCUUAAUCCACUGAGCGAGGUCAUGGAUCGAACCCACAUCCUCACCGAUACUAGUUAACCACAACGGUAACUCCCCAGAGCCUUUUUUGUAGUAGUCCUGGAUACGAAAUCCAGUCAUUAUCAAUUUGAUCUCUUUUGACCCACAAGGAUCUGAAAAAAGCCAAGACUGGUUUUAUACCUCCUGCUGGUAUUUCUGGUGGAGCACGCAGAUGGCACCCUCUCCACACAUCCCGACAUUCACUUGGGAAUACUAAGGAGGCUUAGCCUUUGAGCCAUGGACUUAACAUUUCCUGACAAUAUUGCAUGUGCAUUAGAAUCAACUGGAUGCCUGUUGACAUUCAGACUGCUGAACCCCACCCCUGGAGUUUCUGACUCAGCUAGCUUGGGGUAUAGUAUGAGAAUUUGCAUUUCUAACAAGUUCUCAGGUGAUGCUAAUGCUGCUGGUCCAGGGGCCCCACCUGAAACCACUGCCCUGGCUUCUUCCCUGUGAUGGGGCUAUUGAUAUAUCUCACAUUUAAAGCAAAACCAGCUGAGGUGCUUUUACCAGCCAGAAUGGCUAUCAUCAAAAAGUCUACCAACAAUAAUUGCUGGAGAGGAUGUGGAGAAAAAGGAACCCUAUUACACUGUUGGUGGGAAUGUAAAUUGGUGCAAUCACUGUGGAAAACAGUAUGGAAAUUCCUCAGAAAACUAAAAAUAGAAUGACCAUUUGAUCCAGCAAUCCCUCUCCUGGGCAUCUACCCAGAGAAAACCAUGACUCGAAAAGACACAUGUACUCCAAUGUUCAUUGUAGCACUCUAUACAAUAGCCAAGACAUGGAAACAACCUAAAUGUCCAUCAACAGACGAGUGGAUCAAGAAGAGGUGGUACGUAUACACAAUGGAAUAUUACUCAGCCAUUAAAAGGAAAGCAAUAACAGCAAUUUUGGAGUGACAUGGAUGGACCUAGAAAUUACCAUGCUAAGUGAAGUCAAUCAGGCAAUGAGAUACCAACAUCAAAUGCUAUCACUGACAUGUGGAAUCUAAAAAAAGGACACAAUGAACUUCUUUGCAGAACAGAUACUGACUCACAGACUUUGAAAAACUUAUAGUUUCCAAAUGAGACAAGUUGGGGGAUAAGGGGAUACCCUGAGGGUUUGGGAUGGAAAUGCUAUAAAAUUUGGUUGUGAUGAUUGUUAUACAAUUAUAAAUGUAAUACAAUUCAUUGAUGAACAGGAAGGACUCUUUAUGUAAACAUACUGCUUCAUACUCAUGCCAGGACAUAGUUACCUAAACAAGCACUGUUUCCUUCUCCUGGAGGACCUAGCUGUCAUUCUCACGGAGCUGCCACAGCCAGCCUUUAACUAACCACUGUCUUCACAGCUCAUCCUGCUUGGCUUGAAUGAACUCAACAGUUCAUCUUGAUGGGAUGGAUGGAACCUAUUCAUUCAUUUGUUUACAUGUUUACUGAGCACCUACUAUAUGCCAAGCCCUUUUCUGAAAAACAGUUUUAAAGAACCAUGACCCUUUCCCUCAAGGAGUUUAUAAUCUUAGGUUGAGUGUGAAUUUGAGCAGAACUGAUAAAAAACAAAAUGAAAUACAUGAAUCCAUUGUGAUAGGUAAGUAUCCAUUGUGACAGAUGAAAAAAAAAAAAAACAUAUGAAGAAGGUCCCCUUUAGGUUAGAUGACCAGAGAAAGCCCCUGGAGGAGGUAACACUUAAAUUUAGAGAAGCUGGAAGUCCAUUCCCAUCUGUGUACCCUGAGCCAAACAUACUCUUAAGGCCACUCUGGGAGCUUUAAAAAUGUUUAUCUGCUACUUAUAAACAAUAAAAAGAGUAAUACAUUUCAGGCUUAGAUUACUGUUUCUAUUAAGGAAGAGAAAAAGCCAUUCCUAGGCAUACUGGUUAAAGCAAGCUGGAGGUCUGGUGAAUAAAUACAAUUUAUAAUGUAAAAUGAAGGAUCACUGUCCACUUUUAAAAGUAGUGCUUAUCAGCAUGCCUAACUUUUCUAAAAUAGUCUAGAAAAUAAUAAUAAAAUCCAAAAAAUUAUGAAACAUCCCAAGGUUUGAAAGAGUGAUAUUCAUGUAAAUGCAUAAAUUGUUCAGUACAUAUUUACUAAAUCCUCAGAACUUCCCAAACCAUAGGGAUGCCUAACCCUUCCCACUGACAAAUAUUAGCUAAACAUCUAUGAUGCACUUACCACUUCCUCAAGCUGGUCACAGUUUUGCUUCUUUUCACUACUGCCAUUUCGCUUCCUUACUCUGCCAACAAACAUUAUGACCAAAUGAUCAGAAGAUCAUGAUGGUGGGCAUAGGUUUUUGUUUUGUUUCUUUUUUUUCUUAUGUGUGCUUUAGAUCUUGAAAAUCCACUACCCUACAAGUUGCAUCUACUACAUUUCUUGCACCAGUCUAUGAAGCAAAGCAACACAUUUUUACAGCUAGUUAUCACUAGAACUUCCUGCAAACCUCUUGCUCAAUAUUACUGGAUGGCCAAGGCCUAAAUAUCAUCUUUAUCUUUCAAAAUGGAUGGAUUUUCAACAGCUCUGUGUCUUCAGCCCUAGAAUUUUAGUUCCAAUUCCAGAUAAUUAUACUUUCUAGGUCUCUAGUGCCUGCAAACCCUUGUCUGAAGAACCUCAACUGGAAGACACAUAUGCCCACUUUUAGUGGAGCAAUACUGAACAGGCAAUGCUGUAUAGUUCGUACCAAUUUUACCACUGACUUUCUAAAACUCUUAGAGGAAACAAGUCUCAAGAAUUUGCUCAUCCACUGAAUCAACUCCCCAAAACAUACUGCACACCUACUGUUAAUUCAUCCCAUAAACAAUGCAGAAGACUUUCUACAAAGGAAUACAUGGAGGUGUCCUUUCUAACACGUGUUUGUUUUAACUUAGAGUGAUAAUACCAGGGCACUACCAGUUGACUAGACCUAUAACCAUGUCUCAAUUAUUGCUUCAGGUCUUUCCAGGGGUAACCUAAUUUGGGUAGGAUUCCUGUGUUUUCCAGUGUCAUCUCCUUUAUAUGCCUCUGAAGAUGUUAGACAAAAGUGGAUACAAUUGAGAAUGGAAUACACAAAAUCAAGCCUGUUUAUACUGAAAGGAAUCUGAAUAAAAUACUUCAUCAAUGGCACACAAUUGUGAUUACACAGUACUUCAAAAAUGUCAUCAAUAUUGAUUAAUGAGAACCUACUAAAUAGCACAGGAAAAUCUACUCAAUAAUUUGUAAUAACCUAUAUGGGAAAAAAAGAAUGGAUAUAUUCACAUGUAUGACUGAUUCACUUUGCUGUAUACCUGAAAUUAAUACAUUAUAAAUCAUCUAUAGUCCAAUAAAAUUAAAUUUUAAAAAAGUCAUCAAUAGUUUAAGCUUACCAUUUAUUUUAAAAAAGAAAAAUACUAAAUAAAACAAAAGGCUAGGUUUCCUCCCUUCCUGAUUUCCCUGGCAUUUAGGAGGAUUGCCAUAGAUAAGUCCACAAGUGAACAGCUGAGCUACAUAAUGUACAGUUCUAACUGGGCAGCUUCUAAAAAAAAAAUAGAAGGACUCCUUCCAACUCCAGUUAAUGUGCUUGAUACAAAGGGAACAUGUUUCUGCAACAAACACAUUUAGAGCUUGGUGUUUUACAGAGUAACUAAUGAAGGCUCAAGCCAUAGAAAAAUUUAUUUUUCCAGGAUAUUACAUGUUCUGACUCACCAUUUUAACAGAAGUACAAGUAAAAUGAAAAUGCAAAUUAAACGUAUACGUGUUUAUGACUUAACCAGUAUAUGACAAGGCUACUUUUGGCUUCUGGCUUUAUUAACCAGGAAGAGAAGCCUGGAAAACCACCAUACAUUUGUAUUUCUAUUCAAGUAGUUCCCUCUCUCCAAGUACUGGUUGGAGCAAAGUAUUAAUUCUAAGUCCAGUAAUACAUAUAAGCCAAGAGAUCAUAGUGAAUGGAUGAAAGAAGACAUUGUAUCCUUAAUUAUCUGCCUGAACAAGAUUUUUUAAAAAUACCAUCUCACAUGUGAUUACUCAUUAAUAAUUAUUGCAAACAAAUCUUUGUUAACGUCUAUGAUUUCUAGAAAUCAAAAAUGCACUUUCACCAUAGAAACUCUGGCCAACCUUGAAUAAAAGCUUCUUAAGAAUUCCGCAUUAGCCAUGGUCCUCCUUCUAAACACCUGUGCGACUGUGAGCGAGUCAGUUAACCUGUUCUGCAACCUGUUCAAGCCUGGGUUUCUUACCAAUAAAAAGUGAGUCUCUGAACUAGUUAACAUAUGAAUUCUUUGUAAGAAAUCUACCUCAGUCCCCAAUGGCUGAAUCUGUUAAUAAUAUUUAAGACCCAUUCUAAUUCUUUAUCAUCAUUCCUCUAAACAUAAAAAACAUGACUUUGGGGCAUAUAGGAAGAAGAGUGUUAAGAGGUUUCUUAAAGGGAACAGAAACUAGAUUGGUUUUGUUAAUUAGGUUCCCCCUAUGAAACCACCAGCCAGUAUUAGCAGCUGCUGAAAUUUACCCAAAGAGUGGUUGGUUUCUCCAUCUUAAGACUUACUCUUUCAUAUAAUGGCACAAGUCAACUUCUAGGAAUGUAUCUUUCAGCCAGUUACACAUUACUAACAACAAAGGGUGGGGAUGGGAGGCAAGCAAAAGAGCAUUGCAGAGACUAUGUGAGUCUACAUUUACACAAAGAAAAACUCUUCUUUAUAUGAUGUAUUCAGGAGAGCCAUGAUGGGCACCUGCACCUGCUAGGUUCAGGAGGCACCUUUUGUAGGUAAAUUAUCUUAUGGAUCAGCAGAUACUGGGAAUUUACACGAUAAGAUGCAGUCUAUGUAUUAUGGCAGGUGUUUUCCUUAUGAGUGAUUUCACUCACCUCCUUCAUUCAACAACUCUUUAUUGAGUACUUUCUAUAUGCAAACCCCAAAGCUAAAGAAUGAAUAAAUAAAGAUGAGAGUUGAUCAUCUGGAAUAUUCAAGUUAAUCCUGACGUUCAUUUAAGAGUAGUUCAGCCCCUCAGAAUAUUUCCAAGUCAAAAAAUAAUACUAAACAAUCUAGAUGCUAAGCUCAAGUGCCCUUGGACUUUUUUUCCCUUCCAUUACAUGGUAUGUGGCAAAAGGGGAGUAAAUUACAGGUGUGGUAGGUAAUUUGCUAAAUCCCUUUAGUUAAUACAGGGUGAAAAGUCUUCUAUCCCCUAAAGGAAAUAACAUUGGCUCACAAAUAUAUUGAUAAGCAUCGCAGACUGCUAAAACCAGAAAAAGCAAAGUAAUUCCAUACCAACCUCUUGUUUUACAGGUGAGAGACUUGAGGCUCAGAGAUGGUAUGAUCUGUUCCAGGUUAUACAGCCAAAAAAGUGCCAGAACCAAUACCCAGGUCACCAGCAGGCAGGCUUAACAGUCCCUAGUAUAUUGUACAUGUUCUAGCCCAUGACAUGCCCUCAGUGCUAAAGGCAUAAUCCACAGAAUGAAGGACUAGACAUCAGGAACUCUGAGUUCUGGUCUUAGAAACAUGAUACCACAGAAAACUUGGAUCACUUAUCUAAGCCUCAGUUUCCUCAUCUGUCGAAAUGUGAACAGUAGUUCAUGGUGAAACAGUGCAGACCCCAAUAAAGGCAGAGGUCUGGCCACAGUCAAAACAUUAUACAAGUACAGAACUGGUACUGGGUGAGGAUAGCGGUGAUGGAGAUUUCAGAGAACCUGGCUCUGACUCUAAUUAUCCACUGUAACCCUGAGAUGUCACUGAAUUUGUGAGCCUCCCAUUCCUCCUGUGAACAUGUGGUUAAUAAUCAUUGCCCUGCUUCCCUCAGAAAU
This 5879-nucleotide long non-coding RNA is filed under the name Sus scrofa (pig). RNAcentral's name for it is "lncRNA (ENSSSCG00000059116.1)". Lineage: Eukaryota; Metazoa; Chordata; Mammalia; Artiodactyla; Suidae. The record is from RNAcentral.